CGCGUAGGCGGAAGAUUAAGUCAGUGGUGAAAACCUGCAGCUUAACUGUAGAAUUGCCAUUGAUACUGUUAGUCUUGAGUACGGUCAAGGUAGGCGGAAUGUGUAAUGUAGCGGUGAAAUGCUUAGAUAUUACACAGAACACCGAUUGCGAAGGCAGCUUACUGGGCCAUUACUGACGCUGAGGCACGAAAGCGUGGGGAGCGAACAGGAUUAGAUACCCUGGUAGUCC
RNAcentral lists this ribosomal RNA (229 nucleotides) under uncultured bacterium. RNAcentral describes it as "partial 16S ribosomal RNA". It matches the Rfam family "Bacterial small subunit ribosomal RNA", at positions 568 to 796 of the family's 1533-position model. The record is from RNAcentral.